GAUGAAGAACGCAGCGAAAUGCGAUAAGUGAUGUGAAUUGCAGAAUUCAGUGAAUCAUCGAAUCUUUGAACGCACAUUGCGCCCGCCAGUAUUCUGGCGGGCAUGCCUGUCUGAACGUCAUUUCAACCCUCAUGCCCCUAGGGCGUGGUGUUGGGGAUCGGCCAAAGCCCGCGAGGGACGGCCGGCCCCUAAAUCUAGUGGCGGACCCGUCGUGGCCUCCUCUGCGAAGUAGUGAUAUUCCGCAUCGGAGAGCGACGAGCCCCUGCCGUUAAACCCCCAACUUUCCAAGGUUGACCUCAGAUCAGGUAGGAAUACCCGCUGAACUUAAGCAUAUCAAUAAGCGGAGGA
This 348-nucleotide unclassified non-coding RNA is filed under the name soil metagenome. RNAcentral's name for it is "partial contains 5.8S ribosomal RNA, internal transcribed spacer 2, and large subunit ribosomal RNA". The stretch from base 1 to 120 matches the Rfam family "5.8S ribosomal RNA", at positions 35 to 154 of the family's 154-position model. The record is from RNAcentral.